GGCCUUGUGGCUCAGUGGUAGAGUGCUUGCCUUGCAUGCAUGAGGCCUUGGGUUUGAUUCUUCACAGUACCA
RNAcentral lists this transfer RNA (72 nucleotides) under Dipodomys ordii (Ord's kangaroo rat). It matches the Rfam family "tRNA". Rfam says of the family: Transfer RNA (tRNA) molecules are approximately 80 nucleotides in length. Their secondary structure includes four short double-helical elements and three loops (D, anti-codon, and T loops). Lineage: Eukaryota; Metazoa; Chordata; Mammalia; Rodentia; Heteromyidae. The record is from Rfam by way of RNAcentral.